GCGGGUAUAGUUUAGUGGUAAAAUAGCCUUCCAAGCUAAUGAUGCGGGUUCGAUUCCCGCUACCCGCU
Molecule: transfer RNA, 68 nt
Filed under: Fossombronia foveolata
Lineage: Eukaryota; Viridiplantae; Streptophyta; Jungermanniopsida; Fossombroniales; Fossombroniaceae
Also listed under: 1 other name
Description: tRNA-Gly
Rfam family: tRNA
About the family: Transfer RNA (tRNA) molecules are approximately 80 nucleotides in length. Their secondary structure includes four short double-helical elements and three loops (D, anti-codon, and T loops).
Source: RNAcentral